Molecule: transfer RNA, 73 nt
Filed under: Nocardia sp. FDAARGOS_372
Lineage: Bacteria; Bacillati; Actinomycetota; Actinomycetes; Mycobacteriales; Nocardiaceae
Description: tRNA-Arg
Rfam family: tRNA
About the family: Transfer RNA (tRNA) molecules are approximately 80 nucleotides in length. Their secondary structure includes four short double-helical elements and three loops (D, anti-codon, and T loops).
Source: RNAcentral
GCCCUCGUAGCUCAGGGGAUAGAGCUUCUGCCUCCGGAGCAGAAGGCCGCAGGUUCGAAUCCUGCCGAGGGCA